UAUUCGGGUAUCUGCAUUGGUAGUAUUUCAAUUUCCGUUAUUUCCUAAUCCGAACUCCAUGCCCUUCUUGAUUGUAGGAGUAUUAAUACACCUACAAUCUAGAACUUCCUUGUGAAAGGAAACGAAAUCCCUUGCGGUAAUAGGCUUCUCCAAAUUUCAGGUAUUUUCUUUUCUUAAACCCUAGUAACACUAAAUUUCAUUCUUUAUUAAUUCAAUUCUAUUUUUACAAAACUGAUCUAGUUUCAACUUUCAACAACAAUCAUGAAACUAUCUUUUUCUCUGAAUCCCAAAUCAAACCCUAAACCUAGAUACAAUCAAGAAGAAGAGAAAUCAAGUGAUGAUACCAAACGCGAGUAUAUAACUGAAUUUGACCCAACAAAACCAAUCGAUGAUGGUAAACGUCCCAAAAUCGUUAUUCCUCCAUUAGAAAACUCAUGGAAUUGUACAAAUAAGAUGAAAAAUCUUGAAAGUCUUGCAAAAGCUUCUGCUACUGAUGAUCCUGAAAGUCGGUUUGAACUAGAAGCAACUCCUCCAACUACAGCUGAAGUAGGCGAUCAGGGUUUCAAAUAUGGAUUAACUCUAAGAAAAAAGGAAGAUGAUGAUCAAGAAGAUGUUGUUAUGGUUGAUGCUAAUGGUGGUAGUAUUGAAAAUUUAAUGAUGAACAAAUUUAAAGAGGAUAUGGAGAAGUUGCCGGAGGAUCGAGGAAUCGAUGAGUUUAUUGAUUGCCCUGUGGAGGGUUAUGGUGAGGCUUUACUUGCUGGUUAUGGUUGGAAAAAAGGACAAGGGAUUGGAAAGAAUGCAAAGGAAGAUGUUCAAGUUGUUCAGUUUGUGAAAAGGGCUGGAAGAGAAGGAUUAGGUUAUGAACCUGAAAUUAAUCAUUUGAAGAUAUAGAGGGAUACAGAAAAAGAAGCUGGUGCAGUUCGAGAUUCUGAUAAUCACAAAUGACCCAAUGUUUGGCUUAACCAAAUUGCAACAGCGUCAGACGAAGGAUCAUUUUUUUCGCUGACAGAUCCUUGGUAGUGAACUAGCAACAAAAGAGUAUUUGAAGUCAAUGAAAGAUGAGUGUCUUGUUAAGUGCUGCAGUGGAGAUCUUGUUGUGCUUCCCAAGUUUCUUGAUGUGGAAACAUAUGAAUCAGUGAGUAAGACUCUCUUUAAAGCAGGCAUGGUUAACAUAUAUUAGCCCAAUAUCUUUUCAGUUCACUAGACUUAUUUUUAGCAAAUCCAAUAGCCUAAGACCUUAGUUGCAUGCCCACAUCUAAACGAGUGGCGUGUUCCAUGUCCAGCGCGUUGAACACGCCAAGGAGAAAUAAGAGACCGAAUGACACAACCUGAUGGUAUCAGGAAACUGGAACACAACAUAGAGUGAAAAGUGCAUUUUGUGGGCCAAAUGCAUCAAAUUUUGGAGUUAAGCAUAUAACUCAUAGGGUAUGCAAUAUAUAUAGUAGUUCAUCUGUCAUGAAUAAUAUAUACAGAACCAAUUAAACCCUUAUUGUGCAAGCCAAAUCCAACUCCACAUACUCAUAUGCUGUGUCUGAAUAUCAAGCCUUCCCUGUGCAACCCAGACUGAAAUGGCGAGACCUUCUUGGAUAUUACUUGCAACCCAGAAGUGAUAUCUUAGUAUAUUAGAUUAACUCCUAAACCUGGCUAGUGUAUCUCAUUUAACAGGCCCGAAACUAUCAUAUCACAGUGCCAAAAUUAUCCAGCUGAUCUUUAGGACCUUCCUUAACAGGCUAGAGAAUAGCAUUUUUUUUUGGGAACCAAUCAGUUAAGGAAUGGAUUAUCAGUUAGCUACAAAAAUCUCCAUGAAGCAACUUAUUCGGGGAUGAUUGGGCAAUAAAGAUGGCUACAGCAACUCGGCACAUAUGGAAGGAUAAAUGCAGGUGUUUUUUUUUUUUUUUUUUGGAUACUAGACCUGGCUCAGUUAAAACAAUAACAACAGUUCAAAACUGGAAUUCUCUUAGGCAGUAGCAAGCCACAUCGCAGCAUACCCAAGGAAAAUAACAACUCUCACAGCUAUGAGAGAUGGUGACCCCCCUUGCUAUAAGCUGUGAUGGGAGUUUUAAAUUAUCUACUGAUACAUAUCCAAGCAUCCGUAAUUCGAGCUUCAAGAUGCAUCUGCAGACAUGGAUGUUUCAGUCCGGAGGAGGCUGAUUGUAUGGCGGUGUUGAAAACUGCCAUAUGAGCAGAAUCAUUGGUGCUACCACACAACUUUUGAGAUGGAGGCUCUAAAUAUUAUAGCUGCAAUACAUAAUCACCGGGAGUCUGGCCGUACUAGAUGUUUAUUUGAUUCAGUUAAUUGGAAAUUUCAUUAUGUCAGACGUCAUUGUAAUGAACCAUCUGAUUUUGCUGGGUAAUAUUGCUAGAAGCUUAGAAGUUUUGAAGCUGGGUAAUAUUGCUAGAAUCUUAGAAGUUUCAAAAAAAAUUGGAGCUUAGCUCCACCCGAAAUUUAACUUAGGCAUGUCUUUGUUUGAGCUUGUUCCAUGUUUUUAGUUGAAGAUGCCUUGGUAAAUAAUAAGAAUAUGAUACGAGGUGCUGGAUACAGGAGGAAACUUGGUCUUGGAUCUGUUUGACCUAAUUCCUAAUACAGUGUGUGGGUGGAAAUUCAGUUUUGGUCUACUCAAAAUCAUGAUAUGUGUUUGUUUGUGAUUAGCAUCAAGUUAAACUUCGUUUAGUUCAUGCUCCGGUAUCAGAAUUUCAAGUGGUAAAUAAUUGUAAUUUUAUAUUGUAAAUUCAAAAUUUUAAAUCGUACAGCUCAAACAACAAAUCGA
Papaver somniferum (opium poppy) is the source of this 2768-nucleotide RNA transcript. It is a transcript of the gene named protein MOS2-like, with no coding region annotated. Lineage: Eukaryota; Viridiplantae; Streptophyta; Magnoliopsida; Ranunculales; Papaveraceae. The record is from RefSeq and is a predicted model, not a curated record. The transcript is spliced from 2 exons.